GGGGGAGUCCCAGACUGAAAUAUAAUACCUUAAUCUUGCCUAAGUUGAUGUGGGCCUUUAACUGAAUCCUUUCCUAAAUGUUCCACCUUAUAACUGACCAUCAAAUGACCAUCAGCACCUUCCCUGCUAUCCAACAUCGUUCUUUUCCCCGCUCACACAGGUACAAGACCCAGCUAAUUCACAUACAGAAAUAUGCAGGACCCAAUAUGGCUUCCAUAAUUCCUAUUUAAGCCUAUUUUGGACCUCCCUGUCAUGUCUUUUAAGAAUUUUUC
Pelobates cultripes (western spadefoot toad) is the source of this 272-nucleotide non-coding RNA. The record is from the annotation of a GenBank genome assembly. NCBI's taxonomy places the organism in Eukaryota, Metazoa, Chordata, Amphibia, Anura, Pelobatidae.